AUUGAACGCUGGCGGCAUGCUUUACACAUGCAAGUCGAACGGCAGCGCGGGCUUCGGCCUGGCGGCGAGUGGCGAACGGGUGAGUAAUGCAUCGGAACGUGCCCAGUAGUGGGGGAUAGCCCGGCGAAAGCCGGAUUAAUACCGCAUACGACCUGAGGGUGAAAGCGGGGGACCGAAAGGCCUCGCGCUAUUGGAGCGGCCGAUGUCGGAGUAGCUAGUUGGUGGGGUAAAGGCUUACCAAGGCGACGAUCCGUAGCUGGUCUGAGAGGACGACCAGCCACACUGGGACUGAGACACGGCCCAGACUCCUACGGGAGGCAGCAGUGGGGAAUUUUGGACAGUGGGGGCAACCCUGAUCCAGCCAUGCCGCGUGCGGGAAGAAGGCCUUCGGGUUGUAAACCGCUUGUGUUCGGGAAGAAAUCCUCUGGGCUAAUACCCCGGGGGGAUGACGGUACCGGAAGAAUAAGCACCGGCUAACUACGUG
Molecule: ribosomal RNA, 484 nt
Filed under: uncultured bacterium
Lineage: Bacteria
Description: partial 16S ribosomal RNA
Rfam family: Bacterial small subunit ribosomal RNA
Source: RNAcentral